UUGCAACCUCAAGCUCACAGGUGAUGGGAAU
This 31-nucleotide non-coding RNA is filed under the name Macaca fascicularis (crab-eating macaque). RNAcentral also lists the same sequence under 1 other name. The record is from RNAcentral. Lineage: Eukaryota; Metazoa; Chordata; Mammalia; Primates; Cercopithecidae.